UCUAAAACACAGUAAUCAAGGGACUAAGUUUAAGCAUCUUGUAACUGGAGAAUAGAUAUGCACUUCAGCAGAACAAUGGAGAAAGUCCAGAUUACACCUAGGGUAGUAUAGAGAUGGGACAGGAUGGGACAAAAUGGCAUUUUAUAUCCAGCUAGAUAAUGCAUUGGAAAAUAAUGACUGAUUGGGUCUUUAGGAAAAAAUAAAAAAAUAAAGCUGGAUCCUGAUCUCAUCCCUCUCCAUCAAAAUAAAUUCCAGGUGGAUUAAAGAUUUUGAUAUUAAAAAGUUCAGCCAUGAACAUACAAAGAGAAAACCUCAGAGUCAGUUUGUAGUCUUGGCCUUGGAAGGGCCUCUCCAAGUAGAAACAAACACUGCAGCCAUGUAAGAAAAGAUGAAAAAAAAUCACAAUAAAUAUAAAAAACUGUUUUGUAAAAAGUGGGAGUUAAUUUGCAAUCCAUGUAACAGAAGGCAUAUUUACACAGAGCUUAUAUAAAUCAAUAAGAAAAAGAAAAUGCAAUAGAAAAAUGGCUAGUUCACAUUAAAAAAUAAAGAUAGUCACUAGAAAGAUGCUAAGUCUCACAUAGAGGUAAAGAAAUGUAACAAAACAAGAAUUGGAUGUGCUCUUUCCUCUCACUGAUGAGGAAAUAUGAAAGGCAUUUCUGGUGUUAUCAAGGGUACAGGGAGCAGGACCCUACCUAUAGUUGAUAUACAAGGACGGUUUGAUAUUAUCUGUCUACAUUUGAAAUGUGUAUAACCUUCCACCAAGUAUCUCCUUGGCAUUUAAUAUUACUGAUUUACUUGAAAAAAGAUGGCAGUAAAUAUGGACAGUUGAAGCAUUAUUAUAAUAGUAAAAUACUGGCAACAGGUGUGUAUCAGUACAGAACUGGUUACAUAAGUGAUUUUCGUCCAAUGGAGUAGUAUGCAGCCAUGAAAACGGACACAGUAGGUUUGUAUGUACAAAUAGGGAAAGAUCAAAGUACGUUAUAAAGUGGGGAAAAGAACAUGGUGCUUAUGGUAUGACCUCAUAUGCUUUGAUUUUUUUAAAACUAUACAUUAAUUUAAUAUUUGAAAUCAUAGCUUUCUUUGUGGAGGGAUUAAAAGUGGUUAUCUUUGAGGAGUUACCAGAAUUGGGUGGGGGAAAGAGACUUCAUAUUAGAUCUUUUUAUACUGUUUGAAAAUUUUUAAACAUAUCCAUACAAUGCUUUAAAAAUUAAAAACAGGAUAUGGGGGGCCUGGGUAGCUCAGUGGGUUGAACUGCUGCCUUCAGCUCAGGUCAUGAUCUCAGAGACCUGGGAUCGAGCCCCACAUCAGGCUCUCUAAACUGUAAUGGCCUGUUGGGCUGCUAAGGUGCAGUUGUUAUUCCUAUAGUCCCCAUUCGAAUGCAGUACGCUCCCUACUUUACUCCAAUGAAAUUAUGUCCUUUGAAUUAAUACAGUUGAAUUUGAAAAUUACAUUUUGUCACUGGAAACUUACUUUUGAAUGUAGACAGUCCUCUGCAAUUUUUUAAUCAGCUUUUGGACAGCUGCCGCUCUUGGCAUUUGUCCCGUGUCCCCAGAUUGCUUCAUUCACGGCGAAUCCAGACCCAUGCAUCUGCCUGUGAGUCAGCUAUGGGGCUGCAUGGGAAUGGUUCCCAUCAGCCAGUGAUUCUGGGCUGGAGGGACUCCUACCCCUGCAGGGCCUAGGAGUGUGAGGUGGUCACUCAAAUAUGGGAUCACAUUUUUUUUGUUUUUACACACAUGAGAAACAGGGAAACGAAAGUGCUGGUACUGGUAAUAGGUGUGGGUUUUUAUAUCUCAGUAUCAUGGAGACAAAGAUGGGAAUGAUUUAGUAUAUCAGAAAUGGCAGCCCCAUUGGAUGCCAGACUUUACUGGACUUCCAUCAGUUCUCUAUAUGUUGAGCCAUAAAGAAAAAAAAAAAAAAAAAAAAAAAAAAAACUAAAGAAAGGCCAGACAAGUUUGACUUUGUAACUCCCAUGCCCACCCAACGCUUCCACGUCCAGCAUCCUCUCCUGCUUGUUUUCUAGAUCAAUAUUGCCAACCUGUCUGCGUUAUAGCCCAGAGACACUCUUCCUUUUCUCCCUCUGGUGCUCUUUGUGUAUAUCUCAUCUUACCCUAUAGGAGUAGCUUUAGAGAAGGGAGUGGUUCCUUGUCUGUGGGCGGCUGCCCUCCCUGCUUACCCAGUGGACCCCUCAUCCCAGGGUCCCAGGAAAUGUGAGCGCCCACAAAACUAUAAAGGAAUCCAGCCACUAGGUGGCAGCCUUGUCAAAAGUCCGUUGUGCCCUUCCGUUCUGAGCCCGGGUUUCUGAGCAACCGGGUAACUACCGGACUUAAGGAAACAGCCCUUCUUUUGCUCAUUCAUUAAUUCAGCAGAUAUUUCUGAGUGCUUUCUAUGUGCCCAGCACUGUUCUAGGGAAAAGGACAGAGACGCCUCUGUCCAUGGAGCCGCGUAGACAGGACGUGGAAGAGAUGAUGACGUCAGCUGGGUAGAAGGGGGUGACCCAUCCAAGAACAGCGAGAGGCUGCUGUGGCUGGAGCCCCAUGAGCGAGGACAGCAGUGGGAGGCGGGAGCAGAAAGGCCAAGGAGGAGAAGAGUGACAUGAUCUGACCUCAUUCCGAAGGGAGUCCAUGGCUGCUUGCUGAGCGUGGACAGGUGGAGUGGGAGGCGGGACCAGAGGCUGGCAAGGAGGUGGCUUGGGCUGGGUUGGUGCCGUGGAACUGAGAGCCGCAAUUAGCUUCUAGGUGCAUUUUGAAGGGUAGAAUCAACAGUUCUAAAAGGCCCUGAUGGGUUCUUUUUUGUCGUUGUUUUAAUUGAUUUAUCGGAGAGAGAAAGUUUGAGUGGGGAGGAGUGGCAGAGGCAGAGGGAGAAGCAGACUUGUUGCUGAGCCGGGAGCCGGAUGCGGGACUCUAUCCCAUGACCCCAGGAUCAUGACCUGAGCCGAAUGAAGGCAGAUGCUUAGCUGACUGAGCCACCCAGGCAUCCCUGAAUUUCCUUCCUUCUUUAAUGCUGAAGACUAUUACGUUGUAUGCAUACACCAUAUUUUGUGUAUCCAAUCAUCCAUCAAUGGAUAUCUGUGUCAUUUUCACCUUGUGGGUACUGUGAAGAGCAUUACUAUGAACUUGGGUUGCAGACAGCUCUCUGAGUCCCUGCUCCUGAUCCUUUGGGUUUUCUGCCCCCGAACAGGGACUGCUUAUUCUCCCAGUGGGUUUGAGUUAAGGAAAGGGAACGUUUCAUGCCAGCUGUACCUUGGCCAAUCUCUGUGUUAAUGCUCAUGGACUCUCAGACAUCUCAGAGGACAUUCCAGCAUCAAAGCAGGCUCGCAUCCAAAAAGGCAUUCAUGUCCUCGCCUGCCCAUGUGCCUAUCCGUUCCCGGUUACCUGCAUCAGACCCGGCAUACCUGUGGCUCCAGCCUAAGAUGCUUGUCCUCUUUGAUGUGGGAAGGCACUAACGCCUCUAACUCAGAAGUAUCCACGAGGUGAAAAUGACACAGAGGUCCAUUGAUGGAUGAAUGAAAAAACAAAAUAUGGUGUAUGCAUACAAUGUAAUAGUCUUCGGCAUUAAAAAGGGAAGGAAAUUCAGGGAUGCCUGGGUGGCUUAGUCGGGACCUAGGAUCAUCACUAUCCUUGCCGCUUUAUAGAUCAGAGACAUUAUGCAGACCGUGCAAGUUCGUGCUUUGAAAAUAUUGGAACCACGAUUUGCCGAUGAGGAGACAGGGCCCGAGAGACUGUGGCACAGGGCAGAAGAGAGACCGUUGCAAAGUGACAUUGGGGGUAGUGAGGACACCCACACCAGCUCCUGGCCCACGUUUUCCGGAAAUGUGAGAAAAGGAACAGACCGACUGGAAAGGGAAGCUGUGGGAGUCAUUCAGCCUCAGAAGUGAUGGGACAUUCAGAAAGGAGGCUCAGGGUAGGGGGUGUGCUGAUUUCAGCUGUGAGUUCUUGAGGGCCCUGAGGACAAAGGAGGGGCACCGCAUCUACUUGGGGAUGAGAGCCUGCAGAAAAUCACAGACUGCCAGGAAUGAGGUUUUCUGUUUCAUUCUUUUUUCCUAUUUCUUUCUUUCUUUCUUUCUUUCUUUUUUUUUGUAAUAUUACACGGAUCACUUAUUAAUGAAUACAUUUUGUGGUUCAAAAAAGUUAACAUUUUAGAUUAAGCAUUUUCGUUUGUCUUUAUCUUUUCCUACAUUUAAUUCAUUUUUUUAUUUGGUAAGAACACUUCACAUGAGAUGGACCACCUUCCCAAAUCGUUAAGCAUGCACAAUGUUGUAGGGCAGAUCUCUGGAACCCUGCACCCACUGAACAGCAACUCCCAGCACCCCCUCUGCCCAUCCCACCCCCUGCCACCGUUCUACUCUGCUUCCAUGUAGAGAAGACUCUGGCUCUCUUCCA
This is a long non-coding RNA of Lutra lutra (Eurasian river otter), 4379 nucleotides long. RefSeq lists it as uncharacterized. The record is from RefSeq and is a predicted model, not a curated record. NCBI's taxonomy places the organism in Eukaryota, Metazoa, Chordata, Mammalia, Carnivora, Mustelidae. The transcript is spliced from 6 exons.